CGACGUGAGGAACCUGCCUUGGAGUGGGGAAUAACAGUUAGAAAUAGCUGCUAAUACCGCAUAAUGCAGUUGGGUCGCAUGGCUCUGACUGCCAAAGAUUUAUCGCUCUGAGAUGGCCUCGCGUCUGAUUAGAUAGUUGGCGGGGUAACGGCCCACCAAGUCGACGAUCAGUAGCCGGACUGAGAGGUUGGCCGGCCACAUUGGGACUGAGACACGGCCCAGACUCCUACGGAAGGCAGCAG
Molecule: ribosomal RNA, 242 nt
Filed under: uncultured bacterium
Lineage: Bacteria
Description: partial 16S ribosomal RNA
Rfam family: Bacterial small subunit ribosomal RNA
Source: RNAcentral